Molecule: ribosomal RNA, 253 nt
Filed under: uncultured bacterium
Lineage: Bacteria
Description: partial 16S ribosomal RNA
Rfam family: Bacterial small subunit ribosomal RNA
Source: RNAcentral
UACGUAGGGGGCUAGCGUUGUCCGGAAUCAUUGGGCGUAAAGAGCGCGUAGGCGGCCCGGUAAGUCCGCUGUAAAAGUCCAGGGCUCAACCCUGGAAAGCCGGUGGAUACUGUCGGGCUCGAGUCCGGAAGAGGCGAGUGGAAUUCCUGGUGUAGCGGUGGAAUGCGCAGAUAUCAGGAGGAACACCAAUGGCGAAGGCAGCUCGCUGGGACGUUACUGACGCUGAGACGCGAAAGCGUGGGGAGCAAACAGG